RNAcentral lists this RNase P RNA (437 nucleotides) under Candidatus Phytoplasma oryzae. RNAcentral describes it as "Bacterial RNase P class B". It matches the Rfam family "Bacterial RNase P class B". Rfam says of the family: Ribonuclease P (RNase P) is a ubiquitous endoribonuclease, found in archaea, bacteria and eukarya as well as chloroplasts and mitochondria. Lineage: Bacteria; Bacillati; Mycoplasmatota; Mollicutes; Acholeplasmatales; Acholeplasmataceae. The record is from Rfam by way of RNAcentral.
AAUAUAAGGUGAUCAAGGUUUGAUAUUAUUAUAAAUAAUGUCAGGUUUAGGAAAGUCCAUGUUAGCACAUGUUUCAGGAAUAACAUGUAGUGUUUGUGCUUAAGAAAACAAUAACUUAAGGUACUUAAAUAAAUUUAAGUAACGGCUUUUUUUAUAUUCUAAAGACUUAUUUUUUAUUUUAAGUUUAUGAAAAUAAAAAAAUAAAGUGCCACAGAGACGAGUUAAUUAGAAAUAAUUAAGUGAAACGCGGUAAACCCCUCAAGCUAAUAAUCCAAAAAAGGUAGGAGCACAUAGAAUAAACUUUUUCCUGUUUUAUUUAAAGUUAUUUUUAUGCUAUUUAAUUAAAAUUUAAAUAGAGAUAAAUGAUCACAUCUUAUUUUAAAAAAAAUUUAAUUUAGUUAUUUUGAUAAAAUAAGAACAGAACAUGGCUUAUUCAU